RNAcentral lists this transfer RNA (76 nucleotides) under Desulfomicrobium sp. RNAcentral describes it as "tRNA-Val". It matches the Rfam family "tRNA". From Rfam's summary of the family: Transfer RNA (tRNA) molecules are approximately 80 nucleotides in length. Lineage: Bacteria; Pseudomonadati; Thermodesulfobacteriota; Desulfovibrionia; Desulfovibrionales; Desulfomicrobiaceae. The record is from RNAcentral. RNAcentral also lists the same sequence under 11 other names.
GGGCGGUUAGCUCAGCUGGGAGAGCGUCGGCCUUACAAGCCGAGGGUCAUAGGUUCGAUCCCUGUACCGCCCACCA